AGUCGUGGGGCAGCAGCUUUGUAGCAAUACAAAGGCUGGCGACCGGCAAACGGGUGCGGAACACGUACGCAACCUUCCUCUAACUGGAAGAUAGCCCACCGAAAGGUGGAUUAAUACUCCAUAACAUAUUGAAGUGGCAUCACUUUAAUAUUAAAGCUCCGGCGGUUAGAGAUGGGCGUGCGUCUGAUUAGGUAGUUGGCGGGGUAAUGGCCCACCAAGCCUGCGAUCAGUAGCUGAUGUGAGAGCAUGAUCAGCCACACGGGCACUGAGACACGGGCCCGACUCCUACGGGAGGCAGCAGUAAGGAAUAUUGGUCAAUGGACGCAAGUCUGAACCAGCCAUGCCGCGUGGAGGAUGAAGGUCCUCUGGAUUGUAAACUUCUUUUCUCUGGGACGAAACCCCCGAUUUCCAUCGGGCCUGACGGUACCAGAGGAAUAAGCACCGGCUAACUCCGUGCCAGCAGCCGCGGUAAUACGGAGGGUGCAAGCGUUAUCCGGAUUCACUGGGUUUAAAGGGUGCGUAGGCGGGUUUGUAAGUCAGUGGUGAAAUCCCCAAGCUUAACUUGGGAACUGCCAUUGAUACUGCAAGUCUUGAAUUUUCUGGAGGUAAGCGGAAUAUGUCAUGUAGCGGUGAAAUGCUUAGAUAUGACAUAGAACACCCAUUGCGAAGGCAGCUUACUACGGGAACAUUGACGCUGAGGCACGAAAGCGUGGGGAUCAAACAGGAUUAGAUACCCUGGUAGUCCACGCCCUAAACGAUGAUUACUCGACAUUAGCGAUAUUACAGUUAGUGUCUAAGCGAAAGCAUUAAGUAAUCCACCUGGGAAGUACGACCGCAAGGGUUGAAACUCAAGGAAUUGGCGGGGGUCCGCACAAGUGGUGNANCAUGUGGUUUAAUUCGAUGAUACGCGAGGAACCUUACCUGGGCUANANGCAUUUUGACCGCAGGNGAAAGCCUGUUUUGUANCAAUACAC
RNAcentral lists this ribosomal RNA (974 nucleotides) under uncultured bacterium. Its description in RNAcentral is "bacterial SSU rRNA". It matches the Rfam family "Bacterial small subunit ribosomal RNA", at positions 60 to 1027 of the family's 1533-position model. The record is from RNAcentral.